AUUGAACGCUGGCGGCAGGCCUAACACAUGCAAGUCGAAUGGUAACAGGAAACAGCUUGCUGUUUCGCUGACGAGUGGCGGACGGGUGAGUAAUGUCUGGGAAACUGCCUGAUGGAGGGGGAUAACUACUGGAAACGGUAGCUAAUACCGCAUAACGUCGCAAGACCAAAGAGGGGGACCUUCGGGCCUCUUGCCAUCAGAUGUGCCCAGAUGGGAUUAGCUAGUAGGUGGGGUAACGGCUCACCUAGGCGACGAUCCCUAGCUGGUCUGAGAGGAUGACCAGCCACACUGGAACUGAGACACGGUCCAGACCCCUACGGGAGGCAGCAGUGGGGAAUAUUGCACAAUGGGCGCAAGCCUGAUGCAGCCAUGCCGCGUGUAUGAAGAAGGCCUUCGGGUUGUAAAGUACUUUCAGCGGGGAGGAAGGGAGUAAAGUUAAUACCUUUGCUCAUUGACGUUACCCGCAGAAGAAGCACCGGCUAACUCCGUG
This 490-nucleotide ribosomal RNA is filed under the name uncultured bacterium. RNAcentral's name for it is "partial 16S ribosomal RNA". It matches the Rfam family "Bacterial small subunit ribosomal RNA", at positions 30 to 507 of the family's 1533-position model. The record is from RNAcentral.